GCAUGACUGGGGUUAAUGAUAUGGAGCACACCCCACAAAGAUGCUUUGCCUUUGGGUACCAGGACUUAAAAUCGUGCACAAUGAAGGUAACAGGAGACUUGAAGGCAUCAUCCAGAAGGCACAGCUUCAAAUCCUGUUCUAGGGCCCAGGAGCGGAGAUGCUGUGCUGGGGCCUGAGCAAAGCCAGGCAAGAUGUGGUUCCUGCUAUCAAGCUGACUGACAUCUAUCAGAAAGAACAGA
Cercocebus atys (sooty mangabey) is the source of this 239-nucleotide long non-coding RNA. RefSeq lists it as uncharacterized. Lineage: Eukaryota; Metazoa; Chordata; Mammalia; Primates; Cercopithecidae. The record is from RefSeq and is a predicted model, not a curated record. The transcript is spliced from 3 exons.